Molecule: ribosomal RNA, 253 nt
Filed under: uncultured bacterium
Lineage: Bacteria
Description: partial 16S ribosomal RNA
Rfam family: Bacterial small subunit ribosomal RNA
Source: RNAcentral
CACGGGGGGAGCAAGCGUUGUUCGGAAUCACUGGGCGUAAAGGGCGUGUAGGCGGUCAGGUAAGUGGGAUGUGAAAUGCCCCGGCUCACCCGGGGACCGGCAUCCCAUACUGCUUGGCUUGAGUACGGGAGAGGAUGUGGGAAUUCCUGGUGUAGCGGUGAAAUGCGUAGAUAUCAGGAAGAACACCCGUGGCUAAGGCGGUUCUCUAGUACGGUACUGACGCUGAGACGCGAAAGCGUGGGGAGCGAACAGG